RNAcentral lists this ribosomal RNA (460 nucleotides) under uncultured bacterium. RNAcentral describes it as "partial 16S ribosomal RNA". It matches the Rfam family "Bacterial small subunit ribosomal RNA", at positions 338 to 795 of the family's 1533-position model. The record is from RNAcentral.
CCUACGUGCGGCAGCAGUGAGGAAUAUUGGUCAAUGGGUGCGAGCCUGAACCAGCCAAGUAGCGUGAAGGAUGACUGCCCUACGGGUUGUAAACUUCUUUUAUAAAGGAAUAAAGUGAGGCACGUGUGCCUUUUUGUAUGUACUUUAUGAAUAAGGAUCGGCUAACUCCGUGCCAGCAGCCGCGGUAAUACGGAGGAUCCGAGCGUUAUCCGGAUUUAUUGGGUUUAAAGGGAGCGUAUAUGGGUUGUUAAGUCAGUUGUGAAAGUUUGCGGCUCAACCGUAAAAUUGCAAUUGAUACUGGCAGUCUUGAGUACAGUUGAGGUAGGCGGAAUUCGUGGUGUAGCGGUGAAAUGCUUAGAUAUCACGAAGAACUCCGAUGGCGAAGGCAGCUUACUAAACUGCCACUGACAUUGAUGCUCGAAAGUGUGGGUAUCAAACAGGAUUAGAUACCCCUGUAGUC